This is a non-coding RNA of Vicia faba (fava bean), 315 nucleotides long. The record is from the annotation of a GenBank genome assembly. Lineage: Eukaryota; Viridiplantae; Streptophyta; Magnoliopsida; Fabales; Fabaceae.
AUGGACUCCCACCCUAUCUCAAAAAGGCUAACAUGGCUCACACAACAGUUGAAGAUUAAGACCUUGAAGACAGUUUCUCUACUCAAACUAAUGAUGCUCCAGACAACAUUGGCUUCACUGUUGAUCAACAACGUGCUUUAUUGGCUUUACUUUAACAAACUAAUGGUUCUUCUGCUCCAAACAUACAACACCUUCACUCAAGUGGCACAACACACCCAGGUAUCACAUAUUCUUCCAUCUCUUCUACUUCAGUUCUACAGGCAGAUUGUUAAAAGCGAUUCGAUAUUGUGCAAAAAAUUAAUAGGUUUGAUCUGA